UCCUACGGGAGGCAGCAGUGGGGAAUAUUGCACAAUGGGGGGAACCCUGAUGCAGCCAUGCCGCGUGUGUGAAGAAGGCCUUCGGGUUGUAAAGCACUUUCAGCAGUGAGGAAGGUGGUAUGCCCAAUACGCAUAUCACUUGACGUUAGCUGCAGAAGAAGCACCGGCUAACUCCGUGCCAGCAGCCGCGGUAAUACGGAGGGUGCGAGCGUUAAUCGGAAUUACUGGGCGUAAAGCGCAUGCAGGUGGUUUGCUAAGUCAGAUGUGAAAGCCCGGGGCUCAACCUCGGAAGGUCAUUUGAAACUGGCAGGCUAGAGUACUGUAGAGGGGGGUAGAAUUUCAGGUGUAGCGGUGAAAUGCGUAGAGAUCUGAAGGAAUACCGGUGGCGAAGGCGGCCCCCUGGACAGAUACUGACACUCAGAUGCGAAAGCGUGGGGAGCAAACAGGAUUAGAUACCCUGGUAGUCCACGCCGUAAACGAUGUCUACUUGGAGGCUGUUCCCUAGAGGAGUGGCUUUCGGAGCUAACGCGUUAAGUAGACCGCCUGGGGAGUACGGUCGCAAGAUUAAAACUCAAAUGAAUUGACGG
RNAcentral lists this ribosomal RNA (587 nucleotides) under uncultured bacterium. RNAcentral's name for it is "bacterial SSU rRNA". It matches the Rfam family "Bacterial small subunit ribosomal RNA", at positions 337 to 916 of the family's 1533-position model. The record is from RNAcentral.